Molecule: non-coding RNA, 120 nt
Filed under: uncultured Vexilliferidae
Lineage: Eukaryota; Discosea; Flabellinia; Dactylopodida; Vexilliferidae
Source: RNAcentral
UCAGCAUCAAGAGAACGAGAAAUCAUUAAAGCAUUUUCAGGUGUUUGAUAAUCAAUCAUCAACUCGUAAACAAAAGGUGAUUCAUUCAUCAAAUAAGAACAGGAGAAAAAAAAAAAAACU